This is a long non-coding RNA of Pygocentrus nattereri (red-bellied piranha), 1171 nucleotides long. The record is from Ensembl. NCBI's taxonomy places the organism in Eukaryota, Metazoa, Chordata, Actinopteri, Characiformes, Serrasalmidae.
CCUAUAUCUUCACCGCUAUCACCAUCAUGAUCACCAUACCUUUACCCUCACCACCAUCAUCGUCAUAAUCACCACUACUGUGAUUUUUGUUAUGACUGACAUCACCUUCAUCACCAUAUCAUCAUCAUAUUAAUCACCACCACCAUCUUCAUCACCCUCAUUAUCAUCACCAGCACCAGUACCAAUGAUUAUGAUGAUUAUGGCGACAAGGAUGGUCAUGAUGUUAAUGGUGUUGGAUCAUCACCCUCACUCUCACCAUCACCACAAUCAUCACUACCAUCACAGCGAUCAUCACCCUCACUCUCACCAUCAUCACAAUCAACACCAUCAUCACCAUCACAGUGAUCAUCGACCUCACUCUCACCAUCACCACAAUCAUCACCGUCAUCACAGCGAUCAUCACCCUCACUCUCACCAUCAUCACAAUCAUCAUCAUCAUCACAGCGAUCAACACCCUCACUCUUGCCAUCACCACAAUCAUCACCAUCAUCAUCACAGCAGUCAUCACCCUCACUCUCACCAUCACCACAAUCAUCACCAUCAUCAUCACAGCGAUCAUCACCCUCACUCUCACCAUCACCACAAUCAUCACUGUCAUCAUCACAGCGAUCAUCACCCUCACUCUCACCAUUACCACAAUCAUCACUACCAUCACCAUCACAGCAAUCCUCACCCUCACCAUCACCACAAUCAUCAUCAUCAUCACCAUCAUCACAGCGAUCAUCACCCUCACUCUCACCAUCACCACAAUCAUCAUCAUCAUCACCAUCAUCACAGCGAUCAUCACCCUCACUCUCACCAUCACCACAAUCAUCACCAUCAUCACAGCGAUCAACACUCUCACUCUCACCAUCACCACAAUCAUCACCAUCAUCAUCAUCAUCACAGCGAUCACCCUCACUCUCACCAUCAUCACAAUCAUCACCACCAUCAUCAUCAUAGCGAUCAUCACCCUAACCCUCGCCAUCACCACAAUCAUCACCGUCAUCAUCACCCUCACUCUCACCAUCACCACAAUCAUCACCGUCAUCAUCACAGCGAUCAUCACCCUCACUCUCACCAUUACCACAAUAAUCACCAUCAUCAUCAUCACAGUGAUCACCCUCACUCUCACCAUCACCACAAUCAUCACCUUCAUCACCAUCACAGCAAUCAUCACCCUCACUCUCAC